This 893-nucleotide ribosomal RNA is filed under the name uncultured organism. RNAcentral's name for it is "bacterial SSU rRNA". It matches the Rfam family "Bacterial small subunit ribosomal RNA", at positions 582 to 1486 of the family's 1533-position model. The record is from RNAcentral.
UGUAAGUUGGGCGUGAAAGCUCCGGGCUUAACCCGGAGAGGCCGGUUCAAUACUGCAUAACUUGAGGGUGUCAGAGGGGACCGGAAUUCCCGGUGUAGCGGUAAAAUGCGCAGAGAUCGGGAGGAACACCAGUGNCGGAGNCGGUUCCCUGGGGCACACCUGACGCUGAGAGACGAAAGCUAGGGGAGCGAACAGGAUUAGAGACCCUGGUAGUCCUAGCCCUAAACGAUGAAUGCUAGGUGUGGGAUCGAAUGGUUCCGUGCCGGAGCGAACGCGAUAAGCAUUCCGCCUGGGGAGUACGGCCGCAAGGUUAAAACUCAAACGAAUUGACGGGGCCCCGCACAAGCAGCGGAGCGUGUGGUUUAAUUCGAUGCUACACGAAGAACCUUACCUGGGUUUGACAUGUAGGUGGUAGUGAAUCGAAAGGUGAACGACCCUUCGGGGAGCCUACACAGGUGCCGCAUGGCUGUCGUCAGCUCGUGCCGUGAGGUGUCGGGUUAAGUCCCGUAACGAGCGCAACCCUUGCUCCUAGUUACAAGUGUCUAGGGGGACUGCCGGCGGAAAGCCGGAGGAAGGUGGGGAUGACGUCAAGUCAGCAUGGCCCUUAUAUCCAGGGCUACACACACGCUACAAUGGUCGGUACAAAGGGCAGCGAAACCGCGAGGCGGAGCGAAUCCGAGAAAAGCCGAUCGUAGUUCGGAUAGCAGGCUGCAACCCGCCUGCUUGAAGCUGGAGUUGCUAGUAACCGCGCGUCAGCCAUAGCGCGGUGAAUACGUUCCCGGGGCUUGUACACACCGCCCGUCACGUCAUGGGAGUCGGUAACGCCUGAAGCCGGUAGUCUAACUGGAAACAGGAGACGCUGUCGAGGGCGGGACUGGCAACUGGGACGAAGU